ACAAACUUGGUCAUUUAGAGGAAGUAAAAGUCGUAACAAGGUUUCCGUAGGUGAACCUGCGGAAGGAUCAUUAAAAGAACUUGUGCCCGAGACAUUCGUGUCCAAGGCCCCACACUGUGUGCACCGUUUAUCGUUCUUUUUGGCAGGGGCUUUGGGUUUUUCCUUCCUCCCUUGUUUGGUGGACUCGAACUUCUCCUUCGGCUCUAUCCUCUUUUUCUCAUUCUUUUUUUGGGGUUGCGGGAAAAGAGGACAGUCGGACAUGGGAAGCAGCUUACCCUGCCAAGUGAAUACUUAAAAACGCUUUUUGUCUGAACGAAUUUUUAAUAAAUUGCGACCAUGAAAUUUUUCGUGGAAUGCAAAAAACCAAACAUAACUUUCAACAACGGAUCUCUUGGCUCUCGCAUCAAUGAAGAACGCAGC
This 420-nucleotide unclassified non-coding RNA is filed under the name uncultured fungus. RNAcentral's name for it is "partial contains small subunit ribosomal RNA, internal transcribed spacer 1, and 5.8S ribosomal RNA". The stretch from base 1 to 73 matches the Rfam family "Eukaryotic small subunit ribosomal RNA", at positions 1759 to 1831 of the family's 1831-position model. The record is from RNAcentral. Lineage: Eukaryota; Fungi.